GUAACGCGUGAGUAACCUGCCUUCAAGAGGGGGAUAACAUUCUGAAAAGAAUGCUAAUACCGCAUGACAUAUCGGAACCACAUGGUUUUGAUAUCAAAGAUUUUAUCGCUUGAAGAUGGACUCGCGUCCGAUUAGUUAGUUGGUGAGGUAACGGCUCACCAAGACCGCGAUCGGUAGCCGGACUGAGAGGUUGAACGGCCACAUUGGGACUGAGACACGGCCCAGACUCCUACGGGAGGCAGCAUG
This 246-nucleotide ribosomal RNA is filed under the name uncultured bacterium. RNAcentral describes it as "partial 16S ribosomal RNA". It matches the Rfam family "Bacterial small subunit ribosomal RNA", at positions 110 to 353 of the family's 1533-position model. The record is from RNAcentral.